This 320-nucleotide ribosomal RNA is filed under the name uncultured bacterium. RNAcentral's name for it is "bacterial SSU rRNA". It matches the Rfam family "Bacterial small subunit ribosomal RNA", at positions 470 to 789 of the family's 1533-position model. The record is from RNAcentral.
AGACGGUAGCCAAGGAGGAAGCCCCGGCUAACUACGUGCCAGCAGCCGCGGUAAUACGUAGGGGGCAAGCGUUGUCCGGAAUGAUUGGGCGUAAAGGGCGCGUAGGCGGCCUGGUAAGUCUGAAGUGAAAGUCCUGGCUUUAAGUUGGGAAUUGCUUUGGAUACUGUCGGGCUUGAGUGCAGGAGAGGUCAGUGGAAUUCCCAGUGUAGCGGUGAAAUGCGUAGAGAUUGGGAGGAACACCAGUGGCGAAGGCGACUGACUGGACUGUAACUGACGCUGAGGCGCGAAAGUGUGGGGAGCAAACAGGAUUAGAUACCCUG